This 477-nucleotide ribosomal RNA is filed under the name uncultured bacterium. RNAcentral describes it as "partial 16S ribosomal RNA". It matches the Rfam family "Bacterial small subunit ribosomal RNA", at positions 28 to 507 of the family's 1533-position model. The record is from RNAcentral.
GACGAACGCUGGCGGCGUGCUUAACACAUGCAAGUCGAACGGUGAAGCGCCUUCCUUUUUGGUGGGUGUGGUUGAGUGGCGAACGGGUGAGUAACACGUGAGUAACCUGCCCCCUUCUUUUGGAUAACCGCACGAAAGCGUGGCUAAUACGGGAUAUUCUGGGUCUGUCGCAUGAUGGGUCUGGGAAAGAUAUUGUUUCGGUGGGGGAUGGGCUUGCGGCGUAUCAGGUUGUUGGGGGGGUGUUGGCCUACGAAGGCUUGGACGGGUAGCCGGUCUGAGAGGGUGUGAGGCAAGGCUGGGACUGAGACGGGGCGCAGAAGGCGAGGGGAGUGAGCAGUGGGGAAUAGCGUAAUGCGGGCGCACGGCGGGUGGAGUGGAGGCGUGCGGGUGGUGACGGUCUUUGGGUAGUGAAGCGGGCCUGCCUGGGUUGUAGGGGGAUUGACGGUAGCUGGUAAAGAAGCGCCGGCUAACUACGUG